CGAAGAUGGCCGCUGAAAGCGAGUGAGUUUGUUGAUGAGAGCGUUGUCCUSUCUGAGAUUGAGGUUCUCCAGUCCAUCUAUCUGGAUGAGCUGCAGAUUAACAGGAGAGAUGCUGGGGGAUGGGAGGUGAG
This is a non-coding RNA of Salvelinus sp. IW2-2015, 131 nucleotides long. Lineage: Eukaryota; Metazoa; Chordata; Actinopteri; Salmoniformes; Salmonidae. The record is from RefSeq and is a predicted model, not a curated record.